AGCAUCCUAGCAACAUGGAGCCACCACAUUGUGACAGACGACAGACAGGUGGUGUGGUUCCUUGACCAGGAAACGAACUGGGGCCGCAGUGGUGAGAGCGCUGAAGAAUCUUAACCGAUAGACCACUAUAACAAACAUCAGCUGGGCUCCUGUGUCUUCUGGCUUAUGGAUGGGUUCGGUCAAUGGGAGGCACUGGCAGGUGGCUGGAGGGCAAGCGGAAGGAAGAAGCUGGAGUAUUUCUCUGCCCUACCUUCUCGGCUUUGAGUACAGGCAGUCUCACCAUUCCUGGCAUCCAUAAGGAUCAGCGAGAGCCGGUGAUGAUGACAGUGGGCUACCACCACCGCUACAACCCAACAACUUCAAUUCUACUCACAAGCUCUAUCAAGGAAUGGUCUCUACUGCUCUCCUAAGUUCAGAACCAGUCCUAGUGGUAACCCUGGCAGGCAUAUGAGAAGAGGAAGCAACUACCUGAAUCAGCUGACCGACUUAUUUACACCAACCAGCAACUGGGUCAGUGGGAGCAACAACAGAUGAUUCUCCCCUCGCUGCACAAUGGAAUCACCUAGAAAGCUUUAAAAACUACUGACACCUGAGUUCCACUCCCAGGGACUUUCAUUUUAAUUGGUCUGGGAUACAACCUGGACAUUGGGACUUUCUUAACUUUCUUGGGUUAUGCUAAUAUGAAGCCUAGAUUAAGAACCAUUGCUUUUGUACCUUUAUGCACCUCACAACAAACAGACUGCACUCAAGUUAGCAAGUGGGCUUUUAUGGCUAUUUAGAAUGGCCAGAGAAUACCUUCCUUUUAUCAGAGGAUGAGUAAAAACUACUGCACAUGUCAAUACUUUUACAAGCAAUGUACUCUUAGCGGUCAACAGUUUAUAUAAAAAUGUCCAGAUAUCAGUGCCCGAUGCUGUGGUUUUUGACUUUUCAGACAGAAAUGAACUGCCUACAUUCUAGUUCAUGGUAACAGUCAGACUCUAGUCAGGGAAAUGGACCCAUGAUAUAGCAAAAGGAAUUUAAUGUGGACAUUAGUUUAAAAGUGUUGGAAGAGCUGAAAGGCAAAACAAGUUUGGCAGGCAACCCAGAGAUGGGACAAAAAGAGGCUCCAUACUACCCAUAGAACUGGAGGGAAAAAGGGCCCUGAACUGCUAUGUAAGAAGCCCAGGAGACCAUAUGGAAGAGUACUGAGGUAUUGGACACAUAGGUGAAGAAACCAUUUUGGCCUUUCAGCCCACUCAAGCCUUCAAUGACUCCAGAUCCAGCCAAGAUCUGACUGCAAGUGGAUAAGAAACAUCAAGCAAG
Molecule: long non-coding RNA, 1302 nt
Organism: Equus caballus (horse)
Lineage: Eukaryota; Metazoa; Chordata; Mammalia; Perissodactyla; Equidae
Source: Ensembl